Long non-coding RNA from Paramisgurnus dabryanus, 1206 nucleotides. RefSeq lists it as uncharacterized. The record is from RefSeq and is a predicted model, not a curated record. Lineage: Eukaryota; Metazoa; Chordata; Actinopteri; Cypriniformes; Cobitidae.
CGGUGGCCGACAGGGGUCGCUGCACUGCAACGAAAGAAAACACAUGCAAAUAGAUAAAACACCAGCAAAUAGAGAAAACAUCUUCAUCAGUUUGACAACACAUACGCUGCAAAUAUCGCAACACAUCCAAAUACAGAAAUGCGUUGCAAAUUCUUACAACACGAACAAAAACAGAAACGCGUUCCAAAUCUCACAACAGAACAAUAGCAGAAACGCGUUCCAAAUCUCACAACACAACGGAAGUGUUUCAGGGGGGUCACAAAAAGUGAUGCACCGGUCUGAGAAGUGUUUUCGGUUUACAUUCCAUUCGUCCGUGGAGCUUUUGUGAGUUUACAUCGAUCAAAUGAAAGCUAAAGGACCUGUUAUUACAUUGAGAGCAUCCCGACCAGAUGCAUAGUGUGAUAUGGUAGCAUGAUAGAAAUGAACUGCCAGAGCCUGUAGAGAGGGAUAAAGUCUACUGAGAGGAACACCACUGCCUUCCUUUACACAUUUUACAAACUAACGCACCAAAAUUAACCAGAGUUUUGUUAGGUAGCUUUAAAUUUGAGCUUGGGUCAGACUGGUCUAUCAUUGUAUCUAUUCCAGAGCAAGAUUUCUACUGCAAACUAAAUAUAAAUUAAAUUGUAUUAAAAAAACAUUUGUUUACUAGCUUAAAACAACAUAACAUAUAACAAAAAACACAUUUUCUAAUUGUAACACAAUUUUAAGUUAAAGUUAAGCAUCAGGGCCAUAAUUUGUAUUUUUCAUUAGGAACAGCUUAUGUUUUGUAGCUCAACUUCUGACAGGUCAUAAUCUGGUUAUACAGAAGAAUUACAAUGUUAAUGUUCAUCUGAGAAUGGUGAUUAUUUGUAAUUAUUUCUCUUGAUUCUUUAUAGACCACUGCAUUGUAUUUCAUGUCAUAUUAGCGGCAUAUGAAGAUGCAUAAAAUUGGAUUGACAUUAAACAUCUUGUUCAAAGAUUCCUCUCCUGAUUUUCUUACUGGAAUCUGGUCCAUAUUUAGCCACCUCAACCAGCUAAACCUUAAAUGUAGUGAAGUUAACUACAACCAGAACAUCAAUCUUAUCACUUUGACAUGUACUGUAUGACUUUUAUUUGAAUGAAUAAUACAGUUACUAUAACAUCUUACAAUGUUGAUACUUCUUUUUAGUUCCUGCUUAGAACUUUUCGUAAAGGACAAUGCUGUUAAUAAACUUGCAGUAAAGCUGA